GAUGAAGAACGCAGCAAAAUGCGAUACUUGGUGUGAAUUGCAGAAUCCCGUGAACCAUCGAGUUUUUGAACGCAAGUUGCGCCCGAAGCCUUUUGGCCGAGGGCACGUCUGCCUGGGCGUCACGCAUCGCGUCGCCCCCCACAAUUCUCCGUAAAGGGAACGUGUGUAUUGGGGGCGGAUAUUGGUCUCCCGUGCUCAUGGCGUGGUUGGCCGAAAUAGGAGUCCUUUCGAUGGACGCACGAACUAGUGGUGGUCGUAAAAACCCUCGUCUUUUGUUUCGUGCUGUUGCUCGCAAGGUAAACUCUUUAAAAACCCCAAUGUGUCGUCUCUUGACGACGCUUCGACCGCGACCCCAGGUCAGGCGGGACUACCCGCUGAGUUUAAGCAUAUCAAUAAGCGGAGGA
RNAcentral lists this unclassified non-coding RNA (404 nucleotides) under soil metagenome. Its description in RNAcentral is "partial contains 5.8S ribosomal RNA, internal transcribed spacer 2, and large subunit ribosomal RNA". The stretch from base 1 to 122 matches the Rfam family "5.8S ribosomal RNA", at positions 35 to 154 of the family's 154-position model. The record is from RNAcentral.